CGUACACUCCUACGGGAGGCAGCAGUGGGGAAUAUUGGACAAUGGGCGCAAGCCUGAUCCAGCCAUGCCGCGUGAGUGAUGAAGGCCCUAGGGUUGUAAAGCUCUUUCACCGGUGAAGAUAAUGACGGUAACCGGAGAAGAAGCCCCGGCUAACUUCGUGCCAGCAGCCGCGGUAAUACGAAGGGGGCUAGCGUUGUUCGGAUUUACUGGGCGUAAAGCGCACGUAGGCGGACUAUCAAGUCAGGGGUGAAAUCCCGGGGCUCAACCCCGGAACUGCCUUUGAUACUGGUAGUCUUGAGUUCGAGAGAGGUGAGUGGAAUUCCGAGUGUAGAGGUGAAAUUCGUAGAUAUUCGGAGGAACACCAGUGGCGAAGGCGGCUCACUGGCUCGAUACUGACGCUGAGGUGCGAAAGCGUGGGGAGCAAACAGGAUUAGAAACCCUUGUAGUCCC
RNAcentral lists this ribosomal RNA (450 nucleotides) under uncultured organism. RNAcentral describes it as "partial 16S ribosomal RNA". It matches the Rfam family "Bacterial small subunit ribosomal RNA", at positions 330 to 797 of the family's 1533-position model. The record is from RNAcentral.